Molecule: ribosomal RNA, 84 nt
Filed under: Triticum aestivum (bread wheat)
Lineage: Eukaryota; Viridiplantae; Streptophyta; Magnoliopsida; Poales; Poaceae
Description: partial small subunit ribosomal RNA
Source: RNAcentral
CUGCCAUUCUAUGAGUCGCUUCCUUUUUGCGUAUGGCACCCCCACUCCCUUUGGCAGCAUCUACUAAUUCGGAACUUAAUUUGA